UACGUAGGGUGCAAGCGUUGUCCGGAAUUAUUGGGCGUAAAGAGCUCGUAGGCGGUCUGUCGCGUCGGAUGUGAAAACCCAGGGCUCAACCCUGGGCCUGCAUUCGAUACGGGCAGACUAGAGUUCGGUAGGGGAGACUGGAAUUCCUGGUGUAGCGGUGAAAUGCGCAGAUAUCAGGAGGAACACCGGUGGCGAAGGCGGUUCUCUGGGCAUUACCUGACGCUGAGGAGCGAAAGUGUGAGGAGCGAACAGG
Molecule: ribosomal RNA, 253 nt
Filed under: uncultured bacterium
Lineage: Bacteria
Description: partial 16S ribosomal RNA
Rfam family: Bacterial small subunit ribosomal RNA
Source: RNAcentral